RNAcentral lists this ribosomal RNA (468 nucleotides) under uncultured bacterium. RNAcentral describes it as "partial 16S ribosomal RNA". It matches the Rfam family "Bacterial small subunit ribosomal RNA", at positions 28 to 507 of the family's 1533-position model. The record is from RNAcentral.
GACGAACGCUGGCGGCGUGCUUAACACAUGCGAGUCGAACGGAAAGGCCCUGCUUUUGUGGGGUGCUCGAGUGGCGAACGGGUGAGUAACACGUGAGUAACCUGCCCUUGACUUUGGGAUAACUUCAGGAAACUGGGGCUAAUACCGGAUAGGAGCUCCUGCUGCGUGGUGGGGGUUGGAAAGUUUCGGCGGUUGGGGAUGGACUCGCGGCUUAUCAGCUUGUUGGUGGGGUAGUGGCUUACCAAGGCUUUGAAGGGUAGCCGGCCUGAGAGGGUGACCGGGCACCUUGGGACUGAGAUACGGACCAGACUCCUAUGGGACGCAGCAGUGGGGAAUAUUGCACAAUGGGCGGAAGCCUGAUGCAGCAACGCCGCGUGCGGGAUGACGGCCUUCGGGUUGUAAACCGCUUUCGCCUGUGACGAAGCGUGAGUGACGGUAAUGGGUAAAGAAGCACCGGCUAACUACGUG